ACCUGUCUAGCUCAGUCGGUAGAGCGUAAGGCUCUUAACCUUGUGGACGUGGGUUUGAGGCUCAUGGUGGGCA
This 73-nucleotide transfer RNA is filed under the name Zea mays. It matches the Rfam family "tRNA". Rfam says of the family: Transfer RNA (tRNA) molecules are approximately 80 nucleotides in length. Their secondary structure includes four short double-helical elements and three loops (D, anti-codon, and T loops). Lineage: Eukaryota; Viridiplantae; Streptophyta; Magnoliopsida; Poales; Poaceae. The record is from Rfam by way of RNAcentral.